Molecule: ribosomal RNA, 325 nt
Filed under: uncultured eukaryote
Lineage: Eukaryota
Description: partial 18S ribosomal RNA
Rfam family: Eukaryotic small subunit ribosomal RNA
Source: RNAcentral
CCCUUAGAUGUUCCGGGCCGCACGCGCGCUACACUGAUGCAUUCAACGAGCCUAUCCUUGACCGACAGGUCCGGGUAAUCUUUGAAUCUGCAUCGUGACGGGGAUAGAUUAUUGCAAUUAUUAAUCUUCAACGAGGAAUGCCUAGUAGGCGCAAGUCAUCAGCUUGCGUCGAUUACGUCCCUGCCCUUUGUACACACCGCCCGUCGCUCCUACCGAUUGGGUGUGCUGGUGAAAUGUUCGGAUCGGCCGUUUGUCGCGGUUUCCGCGUCAUGUGGCUGAGAAGUUCAUUAAACCCUCCCACCGAGAGGAAGGAGAAGUCGUAACA